GGUUCUUUUCCAGAUGAAGGUUGGU
Molecule: non-coding RNA, 25 nt
Filed under: Rattus norvegicus (Norway rat)
Lineage: Eukaryota; Metazoa; Chordata; Mammalia; Rodentia; Muridae
Source: RNAcentral